UUUAAUUCAUAAACCCUUUAAACUGUCUAUUUCUUUUAGGCUAACCGUGUAUAUAAGACCUUUUGCAUACAAAUGUUGGGCACAGCUAAAGCCUCUUUAUACAGAAUUAAUGUGAGAAUCCUCCAUUUGUGCAGCAACUCAAGAAUUUCCUAACAUUUUAUGGAACCCAAAGGGAUUAAAUAGCCUUGAUGACGAAGGACAAUACCUUGGGAGUUUCUCCUAUGAUAUCGAUAGCAGCCCUCUGCAGCACUUUACAAUUCCGGAACCAGCAGCAAUUCCAUUUCGCUUCAUUGAGCUCAAGAUAUACAACAAUCACGGCAAAGAAAGUUAUACAUGCCUUUAUCGCUUCAGAGUACAUGGAACUCUGGAGCCUCCUGAGCAAGCAUAAACACUGUCCAACUGACGGGGAAUAAUGCUGCCUUAUGAACACAAGCUAAAUGUCUAUGGUAAUGACGUGUAAUGUGUACUCCAGGAGUGAAAAAUGUGAUGUCUGUAGUGCAACAGAAUUUUUGGGACACUGAAAUACCCACAUAAUAUAAUAUUACAAGGCAGCUGAAAACUGGAAUAGUGCAGCCAGAGGAGACGACCGUUGAUAGGUAAUGGCCGAUAUGCACGAUUCUGUGGCAGUGAAUACAUGAUGCUACCAGAGAAAUGGUGGAAAUGGCAUUUCCUACUUGGUGUGACCUGAGGCUGCAUACCUAGACCACCCAGCCAGUUGCUUCAACCUCAACAUAUUCAAUAACAAUUCUAAUAAUAUCUAUUUACAGAUCUCUUACUGUGAAUCUACUGAAUCUAACACACAGUGUUACAUUAACACUAUAUGUUGGAUUCAGUAUAGUUUCUAGGCCCUUUAAAAAAACGUAUGGCUUAACUAGUAGUGUGUACCAGUGUUUAGACAUAGGCCUUGCAAUGAGCUCGUCACUCACCAAAGGAGUCCUACCAUCUGCAAAAAAUGAUUACAUAACUGAAUAAGAGGCCAGGGCCCUGAAUUUAAAUUAAAAUAAUAUACCCUUAAAUGAACAGUGUGGGUUCAGCAGUAAUUCAUCAACAGCAUUGGCUUCUUUCAAAUUAAUAAACGAAAUUUUGUUAGCCAUGACUAAUAAAUUAACUGUGGGUAGUAUAUUGCAUAUGGUGGUAUAACCAUGAUAUCUGCAUAUGGCUCUACAUCCCUUGUGGACCUUGGCCAGUUUUUCAGUUUCUUGAUCUAUACACAGUCAGUAGGACUCCUUGGACAUUGGAUCAGCCUGCCGCAAGGCCACUGCCUAUACACAGAAUGACACAAACAGAUAAAUACACAAAUCAAAUUUGUUAUCAAUCAAUCUUUUGAAGACUUUUACUAUGCAAUUUAUAACCAAAAACUCUGUUCCUACCAAGGCCUCCAUUUUCUGUAUAAUCUAUCUGCAUAAUAGCUUUACUGUAUUUACAAUAGUACUUAUUGUCUUUUAUAUCAUUUAUUUUAUUGCUUUAUAAUUUUGACAUGUUCUAAUUAUUUACUUGAGCUCAACUUGUACCUUAACUGUACUUAUGAUUGUAUUGUACUUUUAUGUUCUUCUGCUUAUUGUGACAUAUUUUAAUAAAUGUUCUAUUUAUCCUUUCUGGUUCCAUUCUAAUCAUAUGCCUUAACCACUCUUUCUCCUUUCAAUGUCUGCUAUUAGGUCAAGGAUUUUCUAUAAUUCCCUUGGUUCUUGGUUGGUGCUAAGAAUGCUUGUACAGUUACCAAUAACAUUUUAUUUGCAUAUUAGAACUGAAAAGGAAUUUAUUUGGCCCAUAUUUGUUACACAAUGUACGAUGAACCAUGCGAGUGGCAUUAUCUUCAUUUUCAGUUGCAACCAAACUUAAUAGACAUUCAUUUUACACUACAGUAUAGCUAUUUUUUGCAGGCUUAGCCAAGCAAAACUCUGAAAAAAAUAAAGAGAAAGUGAGUAUUUCCUGUACCAUUAACAUUAUGAAAGAGGCUAAAUACUGAAGACAAUGAAGUAACUUGGGAAGAGUUUUCACAUGCCUAAUGGCGGAGGUAAAGAGGACACACCGAAAUACAUACAUACAUACAUACAUAGCUACAUGGUUUCACAGAUCCUUUGUCCGGAGACCGGACUGGAUAUUGAACUCGUCACAGCCAAACUGACAUUGCAAUGUGCAACCAGGUCUAGACAAUAAAAUAUUCAACAAUUAUAACAUUGAUAGGUACAACAGUAUAAAAAUCAGUCAUCUUACAAUUCUUGGCUAGAACAUAGUCUUAGAAAACAGACUGUAACAGUGCAUAAAAUUACCUACUUGCCAUAUAUUCACCUACCGAGUAAAAUGCUUUUGAAGCCAGAAAAUCCUUUAGUCUUUGUUUAAAAAUAUUAAUAUUGUCUUUCAAGAUAUAUAUGUUUUGUGGCAGGUUGUUAAAUAUUCUAAUAGAUGUAAAAUGCACACCCUUCUGAAUGGAAGAUAAUCUCACAGAAGAAACAUGUAGCCUAUUGUGCCAUCUGGUACUUAUUUGAUGUAUGUUAUCGUUUGCUUGGUACAUAUUAUAAUUUUUAAUUACAAA
Long non-coding RNA from Cryptotermes secundus, 2533 nucleotides. RefSeq lists it as uncharacterized. Lineage: Eukaryota; Metazoa; Arthropoda; Insecta; Blattodea; Kalotermitidae. The record is from RefSeq and is a predicted model, not a curated record. The transcript is spliced from 3 exons.